GAUGAACGCUGGCGGCGUGCCUAAUACAUGCAAGUCGAGCGAACAGACGAGGAGCUUGCUCCUCAGACGUUAGCGUCGGACGGGUGAGUAACACGUGGAUAACCUACCUAUAAGACUGGGAUAACUUCGGGAAACCGGAGCUAGUACCGGAUAAUAUAUUGAUACGCAUUGUUCAAUAGUGAAAGACGGAUUUGCUGUCACUUAUAGCUGGAUCCGCGUCGCAUUAGCUAGUUGGUAAGGUAACGGCUUACCAAGGCAACGAUGCGAAGCGGACCUGGGAGGGUGAUGGGCCACACUGGAACUGAGACACGCUCCAGACUCCUACGGGAGGCAGCAGUAGGGAAUCUUCCGCAAUGAGCGAAGGCUUGACGGAGCAACGCCGCGUGAGGAAUGAAGGUCUUCGGAUCGUAAAACUCUUUUAUUAGGAAAGAAGAAAUGUGUAAGUAACUAUGCACGUCUUGACGGUACCUAAUCAGAAAGCCACGGCUAACUACGUG
This 497-nucleotide ribosomal RNA is filed under the name uncultured bacterium. RNAcentral describes it as "partial 16S ribosomal RNA". It matches the Rfam family "Bacterial small subunit ribosomal RNA", at positions 28 to 507 of the family's 1533-position model. The record is from RNAcentral.